This is an RNA transcript of Pogoniulus pusillus (Red-fronted tinkerbird), 1772 nucleotides long. It is a transcript of the gene named ataxin 10, with no coding region annotated. The transcript is spliced from 14 exons. NCBI's taxonomy places the organism in Eukaryota, Metazoa, Chordata, Aves, Piciformes, Lybiidae. The record is from RefSeq and is a predicted model, not a curated record.
CGCCGAGGCGGCCAUGGCGGCGGCCGGGGAGCUGCCCGCGGCGGCGGGGGCCCGCCUGGAGAGCGUGCGGGCGCUGGCGGGCCUGCUGCGGGAGGCGCAGCCCAGAGCAAUGGCAGAAGAAAGUACAUUUCGAGGUCUCCUGGAAAUCCUGACAAGUGCCUCGGGUGAAAUCGAGCAGGCCUGCAAGGACUCUCAUGAACUGGUAGAUCUAGAUGCCUGCCUGCUGCUGCUAACAGAGUGUUUCAGAUGUUUGAGGAAUGCUUGUGUUGAGUGUGCCAAGAAUCAACACCUCCUGAGGAACUUGGGUCUCAUCUCUGCCUCUGUCCAUUUGAUCAAAUUGCUUCAUGGAAUUAAAAUCAAAGAAGAGCUGUUGCUGACUGCUCUUCGUUGCAGUCUCCAGUUUCUUGGCAACAUUGCAGCAGGAAAUAAGGAUUCCCAGCACAGCAUUUGGAAGUGUGCUUUCCCAGAUCUCUUCUUGACAUGCCUAACAUACAGUGACAAGAAGGUUGUUGCCUACUGUUGUAUGGUCCUGUUCACCUGCCUUGAUCCAGAGAAAGUGAGAGAAUUCCUGGAUCCGGGAAACUUGACUGUGGCUCUUCGUGUCCUGAAAGUCUACAAAGAGCAGUUGGAGUCUGAGUGGUCGUUCUUGAUUUUCACAGACCGUUUGCUGAACUCCCCUGAGCUGGUACAAGCCCUUUAUGCCAAACUGAGCAAUCAAGAAAGAGUUCCUCUGUUAGAGCUGAUGAUGGCCAAAGUAAGUGAGAAGAGCCCAGUUACCAGUGAGGACCCCAAUGUGUUCAUGAGACAUGCUGGCUUCUUGGCAGACUGUUUCCAGGAGACAUGUGGAGCUGUGCUCAAGUUAACUUCUGCAGCUGGUGCAGAGGAUGAGGAAGCACUGGUCACAAUUCGUCUUCUUGAUGUUCUUUGUGAGAUGACAUCCAAGAACAGACAUCUGGAACAUCUGCAGGCUUUGCCUGGCUUGCUGGAAACAGCCAUAGACACCUUGAGAUUAACUCACCUGGCUGGUAAACAGGCUGUAAAUGUCUUUACUGCCACACAUGCCGUGACAGCACAAGAGGAGAUUUCGCACCCUGCCGAGGGGUUUAAAUCUCAUCUCAUUCGCCUGAUUGGGAAUCUCUGUUACAGAAACAAGGGGAACCAAGACAAGGUGUAUGAGUUAGAUGGCAUUCCCUUGAUCCUGGACAACUGCAGCAUCGAUGACAACAAUCCCUGUAUCCUUUACAAAAGAAUCCUCAUUAUUGGAUGUGGCUCUAGAAAAGCCCUGAGGAGAAAGAAGAAAAGAGGAGAAAGGAGGAAGAAAAAACCAGCAUCAAUUCCCUGAACAGAAAAUUAACUUUCUGUAGUUCCUCUGUUAGAGCUGAUGAUGGCCAAAGUAAGUGAGAAGAGCCCAGUUACCAGUGAGGACCCCAAUGUGUUCAUGAGACAUGCUGGCUUCUUGGCAGACUGUUUCCAGGAGACAUGUGGAGCUGUGCUCAAGUUAACUUCUGCAGCUGGUGCAGAGGAUGAGUUAAACAUUUCAAAGGAAAUAGACUGAGCCAGAAAAAGAGGCCUACUUUGGAGGACUCUUUGGGCAGAAGAUUGCCUGAGGACUUCCUUAUUGAAUGUACUUUGCCUCCUUAUCUCGCUGCGUAUCCAGUAACAGACUGCGCUGGAGUGACCUGAGCUGUAGCUUCCCAAACUGCGGCGUUCGAGCAUCUCCCCUACAAAGAGAAACCUGGAGACUGAGAGGAGAUCUGAUCAAUGUGUACAAA